GCUUAGGAAUGAAGCAGAGGUCACACUGUCUGUGACAAAGGGCGUACCAGCUUUUGGAACUGUUCACGUGGACAGACACCUGGAUAAAAGUAUAACCAACAAGGCCCCGCUGUGGGAUAGGACUGUUAUCCUCAGGCCUGUAACCAUCCAUCCGGACCUCAGUUCUCUGGAUCCUCUGCUUGGGAGGUCUCCUUCCCCCAAAAGGGACAUCGUGGCCCAGCUUGGCAGGGAGCUGGGAAGCCAAUGCUGACGAGAGGUGACCCCACCUUGAACUCUGCUGGCAAGGAAGUGCGGUCCAUAAGGAGAACAGGAGUCUGGGCUUCUUCACUCUCUUGGCCGGAUUUAUUGCCUUGAGAUGGUGAUGCUGUGUGGGUAAGAAAAAAACCCGCUUUCCCCAGGAACCACAGAGUGGCCCUGCGAGCC
This 423-nucleotide long non-coding RNA is filed under the name Cricetulus griseus (Chinese hamster). Its description in RNAcentral is "lncRNA (ENSCGRG00015031369.1)". Lineage: Eukaryota; Metazoa; Chordata; Mammalia; Rodentia; Cricetidae. The record is from RNAcentral.